Molecule: long non-coding RNA, 761 nt
Filed under: Androctonus crassicauda
Lineage: Eukaryota; Metazoa; Arthropoda; Arachnida; Scorpiones; Buthidae
Source: RNAcentral
UAGUAAUAAUAAACAAUAAAAUAUUGAAUUCUUUAAAAUGGUAAAAUCAUCUGGAUUUUGUAGAGCAUAUGGAAUUCAGGAAUGUUUUCCUUUGUCUAAAAUAAUUUGUAAAAUAAAAAAAUAAAUAAAGAAUUAUAAAGGGGAAUGCAAUAUGAGAAGGAGAAAUGGUUGAUGUGUAAGAAUAUAUAUUAUAUGCAUAAUGAACUAAGUCCAUUCUCCUGCACAAUGGGGGAAAUACAAUUGCUUUUCAUCAAAAUAAUGAGUGAAGAAAACAAAUUUUGCUUUUUCCUAGAAAAAGAUGAUGAAGACGGUCAGUCAGUUUUGCUCAGAACUCUUAUAAGAAGAGUCUGCUUUCAGAUUCAAGAGGAAGGGUUGUCAGUUCACAUAUGAAAAACCAAUUUCCUCUACCAGUGAACUCUUCACAUAGUUUGGUUUUUGUGUCUGAGACACAAGUGCUUGUUCAGUUGUUAAGAAAAUCCAGGUUAUUUCAAGAACAAAAAAUAAUCUUUCAAAAAUGAAAGAUCAUUUCUUACAUUGUGGAAAUAGGGAAAAAUGACUGUUAUGUCAGAGAAUGAAAAAAGAUACUUAUCUGAACUAUCAUCACAUCCUAUAAACAUUAGACAGUGUAUGAAAGUUUCUUCCAAUUAGAAAUAUAUACAAGGUGACACAAAAAAAACGGGAACUUUUUAACAAUCCAAUAAAGCCAAGAGUGAUGGAAGAAAAACAUUUUAUUCAUAGUAAUUGAAACCUGUAUACUUGCC